This is a long non-coding RNA of Mauremys mutica (yellowpond turtle), 1205 nucleotides long. RefSeq lists it as uncharacterized. NCBI's taxonomy places the organism in Eukaryota, Metazoa, Chordata, Testudines, Geoemydidae. The transcript has 6 exons. The record is from RefSeq and is a predicted model, not a curated record.
UUGCAGCCAGUCCCUAUGAUUUAAAUCUGUGGGGGUCAGAAAAGGCCCUAUCAAUUAGCUACACAUGCCAGAGUACCCCAGUCUGAAUCCUUGACCAGAUGGUUUGCUGUUUUGCACACUUCUUUCCUGCUUGUGAAGACAAUAAACAGAACCCUGAAGAAAGGGACAGAAACCUAGCCUGGGCAUGGCUGAUUGUCUAUUCCCAGCUGGUGACCAGGAGGAGAUAGUGUGUUCUCCAGGGUGAAUCACUGCCACCUGCUCACUUCAGGGCACCCCGGUAACCUCCUGAAGUGACACAAAUAUGACACCUGAAUACAUGGAGGUUCUCUGGAAGCAAAAGGCUGAUAUGCAGCUCUGUCUCAUUCAUGAAGCCCAGAUGGUACAGUAUCUUCUCUUACCAAGAGGCUGGCAGAGAUUGGGAGAUGGACGAUAAGCAAGUUGGCUGAAGUUUAAUCUGGUGACAAAACUUCACUGAUCAACAAAAGGGUGCUGGCUGGACUGAUAACAAAGUGGCUGCUGCCUUGUGCGAGAGAUGCAUGUUCAGGAGGGACCUCAGGAGUCUUGCUACCAAGGCCAGUAAAGAGGAGAACAUGUGCACUCCACAGGGUUGUUAAAACAGCUGCAGCAGCAGUAACAGAAGUGUUUCCUGUGUCACUGCUGGCCAGCAAGGGUGGGGCAGGAAUUGAACUUGCCUUCAAGAGGACUUAGCCAGGACUGUGGGGAGAGCAGAGCCGCCAGACAGACAGAAGAAGAGCAAAUGGUCUCCCAAGGUCCCAAGAAGAUCUUUGGAGAAGGAGGAUGUUAUAUGAGUCACCAAGACUUUGAGUAUGUCUACACUGCAAGUGAAGGUGUGAUUAUAACACAGGAAAAUUGUUUGCCUGUGUAAAUACCACCUUCCUAGAGUGAUGUGAGGUCUCUUCCCCAUGGAUGUAGGUACGUUGUGAGGCAUAUUUGCUGACAAUACUGAUGUUGCUGAUAAGAAGGAAGUGAGGAAGACAAAGUUGUGUUGGCUUGUGCUUCAAAGACACCAAGUAGGAAAUCCCAUGUUCGCCAAGUGGAAAAGGACAAACUAGAAGAGAAAUAAAUACUAUGUUUAAGUUGAAUUACUUCAGUAUCCGUCUGUUCCUGUAGCUUAGCCCUACCAAAUUCUUCCCUUCAGCAAAACCGUAUUACCAUCUUGACUGCAUAAAGACUUGAAAUUCCUC